GUGGGGAAUUUUGGACAAUGGGCGCAAGCCUGAUCCAGCAAUGCCGCGUGCAGGAAGAAGGCCUUCGGGUUGUAAACUGCUUUUGUACGGAACGAAACGGUCCGGGUUAAUACCCUGGGCUAAUGACGGUACCGUAAGAAUAAGCACCGGCUAACUACGUGCCAGCAGCCGCGGUAAUACGUAGGGUGCAAGCGUUAAUCGGAAUUACUGGGCGUAAAGCGUGCGCAGGCGGUUUUGUAAGACAGUGGUGAAAUCCCCGGGCUCAACCUGGGAACUGCCAUUGUGACUGCAAGGCUAGAGUGCGGCAGAGGGGGAUGGAAUUCCGCGUGUAGCAGUGAAAUGCGUAGAUAUGCGGAGGAACACCGAUGGCGAAGGCAAUCCCCUGGGCCUGCACUGACGCUCAUGCACGAAAGCGUGGGGAGCAAACAGGAUUAGAUACCCCGGUAGUCC
This 450-nucleotide ribosomal RNA is filed under the name uncultured bacterium. RNAcentral describes it as "partial 16S ribosomal RNA". It matches the Rfam family "Bacterial small subunit ribosomal RNA", at positions 354 to 796 of the family's 1533-position model. The record is from RNAcentral.